UGGGGAAUAUUGGACAAUGGGCGAAAGCCUGAUCCAGCAAUGCCGCGUGUGUGAAGAAGGCCUUCGGGUUGUAAAGCACUUUAAGUUGGGAAGAAAAAACGCUCUGGCUAAUAUCUAGAGCCUUGACGGUACCAACAGAAUAAGCACCGGCUAACUCUGUGCCAGCAGCCGCGGUAAUACAGAGGGUGCUAGCGUUAAUCGGAUUUACUGGGCGUAAAGCGUGCGUAGGCGGUUUGAUAAGUCGAUUGUGAAAGCCCCGGGCUUAACCUGGGAAUUGCAGUUGAUACUGUCAGACUAGAAAAUCGGUAGAGGGAGGCGGAACUCCAGGUGUAGCGGUGAAAUGCGUAGAUAUCUGGAAGAACACCGAU
Molecule: ribosomal RNA, 368 nt
Filed under: uncultured bacterium
Lineage: Bacteria
Description: partial 16S ribosomal RNA
Rfam family: Bacterial small subunit ribosomal RNA
Source: RNAcentral